Molecule: ribosomal RNA, 661 nt
Filed under: Microbacterium sp.
Lineage: Bacteria; Bacillati; Actinomycetota; Actinomycetes; Micrococcales; Microbacteriaceae
Description: bacterial SSU rRNA
Rfam family: Bacterial small subunit ribosomal RNA
Source: RNAcentral
CAUUCCACGGAUUCCGUGACGCAGCUAACGCAUUAAGUUCCCCGCCUGGGGAGUACGGCCGCAAGGCUAAAACUCAAAGGAAUUGACGGGGACCCGCACAAGCGGCGGAGCAUGCGGAUUAAUUCGAUGCAACGCGAAGAACCUUACCAAGGCUUGACAUAUACGAGAACGGGCCAGAAAUGGUCAACUCUUUGGACACUCGUAAACAGGUGGUGCAUGGUUGUCGUCAGCUCGUGUCGUGAGAUGUUGGGUUAAGUCCCGCAACGAGCGCAACCCUCGUUCUAUGUUGCCAGCACGUAAUGGUGGGAACUCAUGGGAUACUGCCGGGGUCAACUCGGAGGAAGGUGGGGAUGACGUCAAAUCAUCAUGCCCCUUAUGUCUUGGGCUUCACGCAUGCUACAAUGGCCGGUACAAAGGGCUGCAAUACCGCGAGGUGGAGCGAAUCCCAAAAAGCCGGUCCCAGUUCGGAUUGAGGUCUGCAACUCGACCUCAUGAAGUCGGAGUCGCUAGUAAUCGCAGAUCAGCAACGCUGCGGUGAAUACGUUCCCGGGUCUUGUACACACCGCCCGUCAAGUCAUGAAAGUCGGUAACACCUGAAGCCGGUGGCCUAACCCUUGUGGAGGGAGCCGUCGAAGGUGGGAUCGGUAAUUAGGACUAAGUC